GAACCCUAACGCUCCCGAUCCAGAUCCCUCCCGUCACCGCCACCCACCCCUCCCCACCUCAUAUCCUCUCCCCUCUCCCCACUCUCAGGUCCAACUGGCCCGAGAUGGAGGCCGUCGUGGACAUGGUCGCCACCACCGACCGCGAGUGGGGGUCCUGGUCCUCUCCCUUGUCCUCCUCGGCGGCGGCAUCUGGCUGAGCCACCGGGCCGCCACCACCGACUGCUAGCGGUUCCUGGAGCGGCCGGCCAUCACGCUGGAGGCGCCGCUCCUAGCGCUCUCCCUCGCGGGGCUCGCGGGGUCCCUCUGCCGCGUCUUCAUCGUCUUCUCCUUCGUCGUCACCAACCGCGUCCGGACCUCCCCCAAAGGCGAAUCGGCGAUGAGUUCCACCAGAGGCGUCGCUGGCCGCGGCAAGGCGAAGGCGACCAAGUCGGUGUCGCGGUCGUCCAAGGCCGGGCUCUAGUUCCCCGUCGGCGGCAUCGCGCUACCUCAAGGCCGGCAAGUACGCCGAGCGCGACGCCGACUUCCUUGUCUCUACUUCCCCUUCCCCUUCCCCGGUCCCGAUCCUCUCUCUACUUCCUUAUCUAAUCCCCUUUUUUUGGGUUGGAUUUGAACUGGCAGGCGACCUCCAUGGACGAUAUCGACAAGAUGACGAGGACGAGGAGGAGGACGACCAGGAUCUGCGUUCCCCCCUGAGAAAAUCGACGCUAGAUAUCCUCUGCUUCUGUCUGAUUGACCUCUGGCGGCGUCCGGCGGGAGUUCUUGGGCGGAGGAGGGAGCUUGGGUUCCGUCCAUCUGUUCGAUCCGAUGGGGGACGUGUCCACGAUUCAACGCCCAUCCGACAUUGUCCCCAAGGGUGAUCAGGUUGGGGGGCUGGUGUCGGCCGUAUGGACCAACGACACCCACAAAAUGUACAUCAGCUCCAUGGAGGCGUCCUUCAUGCAGCAGCUCUAUGGCCAGCAGCAGCACCACCACCACGCCACUCCCGACAAGAGCAUGAUCCAUGUGGGUAGUGGCCAUGGGCUCAAGGUGCUCCAAGAGGGAGCGUUUGAUAACCCCAGGUCUGAGAAGAACGUGCCUCGCCUGCGUGAUGUUGGUGCACGAGGCCUGCCCGAGGAUCCGUGGGCGAGGCGUUUCAAGCCACGCGAUUCCGCUAUGAAUCGUCGUGGUGAUGGGGUUGGUUCUUCCGAUGGUGAAUCGGGCACCAAUCAGUUCAAGUGAUGGCUCCGAAGCAUGGAAGAGGAGUGAGCACUUGCGUCGGAGGAAAUCAUGUUGACAGAACCUCAAGUUGUUACACUUUUCAUCUUGUUUGCUGAUUGUUUCCUUCAGUGUAUGUUUUGUUCAGUUUGACAGAAGUUUAGAAUUGUUAUGCGGUGUUGGCUGGCUGUUAGUCUGAUAUUAAUUCAGAAGCAUUGAUUUUCCUUGGUAUAUGUUGUGUUCAGUUCUAGCAGAAGUUCAGAACUGUUAUGCGGUGUUGGCUGUUAGUGUGAUAUGAAUCUAUAAGUGUUGAUUUUCCUUGGUACAUGUUGUGUUCAGUUUUGGCAGAAGUUCAGAACUGUUAUGCAGCGUUGGCUCUUAGUCUGAUAUGAGAUGCGCAUAUAUUUUUUGCAUCUUAUAUAGGCAUUAUGACAUGUUAUAAAGUGUUGGCUCUUAGUCUGUUAUGACAUGUUAUAUAUGAACUGUACAUGGUUUGUCUAAUAUUUCCCUUGACUGACAUGUGAUGUGGUUCCCUGCCAUGGAUGAGCUACAGCCGGAUUAGCUAGGGUCAAUUUAUGUUGCUGCUAAUGCAUAUUGAUCCAUAUGUUCUUGUUUCUGUACACAUGGGCAGCUUACACCUAACUGACUGACUGUUGAUUUGUUCGAGCUGAUUUGUAUUGUUGGUGGUCAUCUACCUACUGAUUUGCUGCUGCAAGUUAGAAUGCCUACUGUUCUAUGAUGUAGAAGACUACUAAAUUAUCUAGUUUGCAUACUACUAAAUUAUCUAGUUUGCAUCCCUUUGAUGUCAUGUAUGCUACUGAUUUUUUGCAGGUAAUUAGAAUGUUGUAGGUUCAGUACUAACGUGGCAUAAUCCAUUGGAAUAAAUUAGAUGGGAAUAUAUGGUAGGUUUAGUACAAACGAGGCUUAAUCCAUUGUUAUUUUUGUUUCCAAUGGGACAAUCAGAAUGUUGUAGGUUUAGUACAUGACGCCAUGGAAGGUUGUUCAUGUUCUGUCCUUCCUCUUAUGAUCUGCCGGAUACUAGAGUUCAUGUCUAUACAUAGCUCACUGCUCACUGCGACACUGAAGCACAAAUAGUCAAUUACACGAUGCACAAAAUCAUGCCAGGUUGCUAGUAUAUAGCUCACUUGCUAGUACACGCCAGUAGUCAAUUACACAGGUUCUCCUCGGCUAGAACAAGCUUGUACUGAUGAACUUGCACGGUCUCUACCUAUUUAUACUGUUAAAUUUUGUUCUAUAACUUCAGCUUUUACUGAUAAAAUUGCACAGAGCACAGUACAAUCUUUGCCUUCUGUUAUACUAAUAAUUGUUGUUUAGUUCUAAUUCACAGAGCACAGUACAAUCUUUGCCUUCUGUUAUACUAAUAAUUGUUGUUUAGUUCUAAUUCCUUUUCCACUGUACAAUUGUAUAGAUGCAGUCCCACUCACAAGGGAGGCACACAUGCAGCAUGGCCUCUGCCACGGUGGCUAGAUGUUGUACAGCAGCACAGGAAUGCUGGAUCAGCUGCUGCUACUCGCUGCAAGAUCUGCUUAUCAACCUGAGAUGUUGCUGCUCAAGUCAUGGCGACGACCAGUGAUGCUCUGCUGAGCUGAUCCAACCUGGGAUGAUGAUGUUGAUCUGCUGCUCAACAAGGUCAUGCUGCUUCAUUCAGCCUCUACGAACAUUUACAAGAGCUCUAGCCUGCAAGUGAAGGAAGUCAGAAGUAUAUUUGUAGUAUGAUAGUAUCUUGGUGAAAUGAACGAUGUAAAGAUUGUGCUAUUACAAGAGCUCUAACCUAGGACAACCUCAGAAGUAUAUUUGUAGUAUUUUGGCUAAUUGGCAUGUGUUUUGAUAAUUUUCAUCUGUCU
This 3059-nucleotide ribosomal RNA is filed under the name Triticum aestivum (bread wheat). RNAcentral's name for it is "partial small subunit ribosomal RNA". The record is from RNAcentral. Lineage: Eukaryota; Viridiplantae; Streptophyta; Magnoliopsida; Poales; Poaceae.